Molecule: long non-coding RNA, 569 nt
Organism: Limanda limanda (common dab)
Lineage: Eukaryota; Metazoa; Chordata; Actinopteri; Pleuronectiformes; Pleuronectidae
Exons: 3
Source: RefSeq, a predicted model, not a curated record
UGAUAUCAGGUACCCUCGCUGCCAGUCCCGACCAAUCACAGGAGGUUCUUGUGGUUCCACUUGAGUUAAAAGAAGGAAGAAGACGGUGUAAAACCAGAAGACCUCUGGAGAACACAGAGACAAACCACUAAAGGCUGAGCAUCUGAGGAACAAGAUUUCAAAAUGAAAGCUGCCGUGUGUGCUGUCCUCCUCUUGCUGACUCUAUAUCAAGGCAAAUCAUUCCGCUCGUGCAUGGACAUGGCAGUGUGUCAGAGUUUCAUCUCAACACCCGACACGAUCGCCACAUGCUGCACCACCGACAGCUGCAACUGAGCCCCUUCAUCUCUGGUGGAACCAUUGGGAUGUUGGAUGAUCCAUUUCUACUGUUUAUGAAACCAAAAAGCAUGUGUUUGUCCACAACGUCAGGUCAAAUUAAAACUGUUGAGGAUCUGUACUGCCUUACGACACUAGGUGGCAGUAGAGCGAUGUGAAGAUGGGUGAGCCUCCACUUGGGCAACCACUGCCAGUGUGUAUGUGUAAGAGUGUUUUUUUUAAGUGAAUUAUUAAAAAAGACAAAGCAAUGAAACUAA